Molecule: ribosomal RNA, 233 nt
Filed under: uncultured Lactobacillus sp.
Lineage: Bacteria; Bacillati; Bacillota; Bacilli; Lactobacillales; Lactobacillaceae
Description: partial 16S ribosomal RNA
Rfam family: Bacterial small subunit ribosomal RNA
Source: RNAcentral
CCCAAGAGAUCGGGAUAACACCUGGAAACAGAUGCUAAUACCGGAUAACAACAGAUGAUGCCUAUCAACUGUUUAAAAGAUGGUUCUGCUAUCACUCUUGGAUGGAACUGCGGUGCAUUAGCUAGUUGGUAGGGUAACGGCCUACCAAGGCGAUGAUGCAUAGCCGAGUUGAGAGACUGAUCGGCCACAUUGGGACUGAGACACGGCCCAAACUCCUACGGGAGGCAGCAGAG